GAACGCUGGCGGCGUGCCUAAUACAUGCAAGUCGUACGCUUCUUUUUCCACCGGAGCUUGCUCCACCGGAAAAAGAAGAGUGGCGAACGGGUGAGUAACACGUGGGUAACCUGCCCAUCAGAAGGGGAUAACACUUGGAAACAGGUGCUAAUACCGUAUAACAAUCGAAACCGCAUGGUUUUGAUUUGAAAGGCGCUUUCGGGUGUCGCUGAUGGAUGGACCCGCGGUGCAUUAGCUAGUUGGUGAGGUAACGGCUCACCAAGGCCACGAUGCAUAGCCGACCUGAGAGGGUGAUCGGCCACAUUGGGACUGAGACACGGCCCAAACUCCUACGGGAGGCAGCAGUAGGGAAUCUUCGGCAAUGGACGAAAGUCUGACCGAGCAACGCCGCGUGAGUGAAGAAGGUUUUCGGAUCGUAAAACUCUGUUGUUAGAGAAGAACAAGGAUGAGAGUAACUGUUCAUCCCUUGACGGUAUCUAACCAGAAAGCCACGGCUAACUACGUGCCAGCAGCCGCGGUAAUACGUAGGUGGCAAGCGUUGUCCGGAUUUAUUGGGCGUAAAGCGAGCGCAGGCGGUUUCUUAAGUCUGAUGUGAAAGCCCCCGGCUCAACCGGGGAGGGUCAUUGGAAACUGGGAGACUUGAGUGCAGAAGAGGAGAGUGGAAUUCCAUGUGUAGCGGUGAAAUGCGUAGAUAUAUGGAGGAACACCAGUGGCGAAGGCGGCUCUCUGGUCUGUAACUGACGCUGAGGCUCGAAAGCGUGGGGAGCAAACAGGAUUAGAUACCCUGGUAGUCCACGCCGUAAACGAUGAGUGCUAAGUGUUGGAGGGUUUCCGCCCUUCAGUGCUGCAGCUAACGCAUAAGCACUCC
This 868-nucleotide ribosomal RNA is filed under the name Enterococcus faecium. RNAcentral describes it as "bacterial SSU rRNA". It matches the Rfam family "Bacterial small subunit ribosomal RNA", at positions 31 to 870 of the family's 1533-position model. The record is from RNAcentral. Lineage: Bacteria; Bacillati; Bacillota; Bacilli; Lactobacillales; Enterococcaceae.